CAAGACAAUUUACAGCCUGAGCACGCCUGAUGUCCUCUGAGAAGAUAAGCAGGCUCGGGCCUGGGUAGUAUUGGAURAGAGACCAACAGGGGAUAACAGGUGCUGUUUGGC
Molecule: ribosomal RNA, 111 nt
Filed under: Amphilophus citrinellus (Midas cichlid)
Lineage: Eukaryota; Metazoa; Chordata; Actinopteri; Cichliformes; Cichlidae
Source: RNAcentral